This 253-nucleotide ribosomal RNA is filed under the name uncultured bacterium. RNAcentral describes it as "partial 16S ribosomal RNA". It matches the Rfam family "Bacterial small subunit ribosomal RNA", at positions 524 to 776 of the family's 1533-position model. The record is from RNAcentral.
UACGAAGGGGGCUAGCGUUGUUCGGAAUUACUGGGCGUAAAGAGCUCGUAGGUGGCCUGUCGCGUCGGCUGUGAAAACUCGGGGCUCAACUCCGAGCUUGCAGUCGAUACGGGCAGGCUAGAGUUCGGCAGGGGAGACUGGAAUUCCUGGUGUAGCGGUGAAAUGCGCAGAUAUCAGGAGGAACACCGGUGGCGAAGGCGGGUCUCUGGGCCGAUACUGACACUGAGGAGCGAAAGCGUGGGGAGCGAACAGG